This 288-nucleotide ribosomal RNA is filed under the name Triticum aestivum (bread wheat). RNAcentral's name for it is "partial small subunit ribosomal RNA". The record is from RNAcentral. Lineage: Eukaryota; Viridiplantae; Streptophyta; Magnoliopsida; Poales; Poaceae.
AUGUCGGAGCAUAACUGGUCGGCGUACGAGGAGGCCCUCAAGGCCAAUCCGGUUCUUGCCAAGAUGAUGAUCAGCAGCGUCGUCUACUCCCUCGGCGACUGGAUAGCCCAGGCAUUUGAAUACUUUGGUGAAAUGCUAAUUACUCCCUCCGGUGCUCUAGCGCGACGACACGCCUACUUAGUUCCUAGCGCUCGCGAACGCCGGAGUUGGACGCGCCCAUGCAUGCAUUUUAGCUCCGAGGACGGCAUCGUGAACGCACAUACUCAGGUGCUCCUCAGCAGCAGUUGA